RNAcentral lists this ribosomal RNA (390 nucleotides) under uncultured bacterium. Its description in RNAcentral is "bacterial SSU rRNA". It matches the Rfam family "Bacterial small subunit ribosomal RNA", at positions 1 to 383 of the family's 1533-position model. The record is from RNAcentral.
AAUUCACCCUUAUAGUUUGAUCCUGGCUCAGAUUGAACACUGGCGGCAGGCCUAACACAUGCUUGUCAAACGGUGACAGGAAGAAGCUUGUCUUCUUUGCUUACGAGUGGCGGACGGGUGAGUAAUGUCUGGGAAACUGCCUGAUGGAGGGGGAUAACUACUGGAAACCGUUUCUUAUACCGUAUAACGUCCCAAGACCAAAAAAGGGGACCUUCGGGCCUCUUGCCAUCGGAUGUGCCCAUAUGGCAUUAUCCAGUACGUGGGGUAACAGCUCACCUAAGCAACUAACCAUAGCUGGGCUGAAACGGUGACACGCCUCCCUGGAGCUGAGUCACAGCCCUGACUCCUUCCGGAGAGGUCAGAGGGGGAUAAUGUUCUUCGGGCGCAGCC